CAAAAUCAGUUUCUUGUUUCUGGUUAUUGUCUGACUAUUAUAGCUCUAUAUAAUAACACUGUCUCUGAAUCUUCUGAAGCUGUAAAGUGCUGUUGUGUUUGGUUGUUGCAGGUGUGUUCGUACUGUCACAUGGUUGGUGCCACUUUGGGAUGUUUCUUCAAAGAUUGCCCAAAUAAGUACCACUUCCCCUGUGCCCUGCAGUCAGGUAAUGGCCAUCAGUUCUCGUGAGACCAUGCAGACUGAAUCCAAAACUACAGUGUCAGUUUGGUUGAACAAAAAAACAAACAAAUCUUUGUUUCAAGGCAGUGGCGAAUGACAAAUGCGUUUCAGGGCAGUGAGGUACAAAGGUACCUCCUGAAAUUGAUUUCGAACAGACUUCUGAGGCAGCAUAACGGUCUAAUGAUCUACAAUAAAAUAAAGAGCACUUUGGUGAUAACUAAGUGAAGAUAUAAUUACUAUAAUGCUCAUUUUAGCAAAAAAGGCCAUCAAAUUAAAAAAAAAUUUUUUUUUCAAAACAUACAUUGACGCACAAACUGACCACUAAUCCCAACUUUAAGGCUGCAUUUAAUUGAAAAGCCCUAUUGAGAUUUUAGCCUCUUGUAAGGCCUCAGUUUGUUUCCCAUUUCCGGCUGUUCUGGGGUUUCUCGCUCGUCUCCGUUUUGUUGCACUGAUGCUUGUGUUCUUUUUCAUGUCAUCAUCUUUGUCGAGGUGCUUAUCUGUGCUGCUGUGUCUCCACACAGACAGUGCGCUCAACGAGGAGAACCUAACGAUAAGAUGCCCGAAGCACAAGAAUAAAACAUCCAGAGUGAGCGUUAGCAGGCUGAAGAACAGAUGACAUUUGGAAGGUGCUGAAAUGUCUUUGAAGGUAUUUUACUGCACUACUCACACCUUUAUUAAGCCUUAGACUUUUUAUUUUGCCUUAGACAUUUUUAAUCCGAAGUAUGACAUUAGUUAUGUUUUGUGUGCAGGCCUUAUUAGGA
This 980-nucleotide long non-coding RNA is filed under the name Sinocyclocheilus grahami. RNAcentral describes it as "lncRNA (ENSSGRG00000009030.1)". Lineage: Eukaryota; Metazoa; Chordata; Actinopteri; Cypriniformes; Cyprinidae. The record is from RNAcentral.